This 341-nucleotide ribosomal RNA is filed under the name uncultured bacterium. Its description in RNAcentral is "bacterial SSU rRNA". It matches the Rfam family "Bacterial small subunit ribosomal RNA", at positions 335 to 672 of the family's 1533-position model. The record is from RNAcentral.
ACUCCUACGGGAGGCAGCAGUGAGGAAUAUUGGUCAAUGGAGGGAACUCUGAACCAGCCAUCCCGCGUGUAGGAAGACGGCCUUAUGGGUUGUAAACUACUUUUAUACAGGAAGAAACGUACCCUCGUGAGGGUGCCUGACGGUACUGUAGGAAUAAGCACCGGCUAACUCCGUGCCAGCAGCCGCGGUAAUACGGAGGGUGCGAGCGUUAAUCGGAAUUACUGGGCGUAAAGCGCAUGCAGGUGGUUUGUUAAGUCAGAUGUGAAAGCCCGGGGCUCAACCUCGGAAUUGCAUUUGGAAACUGGCAGACUAGAGUACUGUAGAGGGGGUAGGAAUUUCAU